UUCUGGCUCAGGAUGAACGCUGGCGGCGUGCCUAACACAUGCAAGUCGAACGGGAACUCUAAUCUGAAGGUUCGCUGGAUGAUUGGAAAUUCUAGUGGCGGACGGGUGAGUAACGCGUGGGUAACCUGCCCUUUAGAGGGAGAUAACAGAGAGAAAUUUCUGAUAAUAUCCCAUAUGCUUACAGCUUCGCAUGAAGCAGUGAGGAAAGAAUUUCGCUAAAGGAUGGACCCGCGUUAGAUUAGCCAGUUGGUGGGGUAACGGCCUACCAAAGCUACGAUCUAUAGCCGGACUGAGAGGUUGAACGGCCACAUUGGGACUGAGACACGGCCCAAACUCCUACGGGAGGCAGCAGUGGGGAAUAUUGCGCAAUGGGCGAAAGCCUGAACCGCAGCAACGCCGCGUGAGUGAAUGAAGUAUUUCGGUAUGUAAAGCUCUAUCGAUGGGGAAUAAAUUGAAGGUACCCAAGUAAGAAGCCCCGGCUAACUACGUGCCAGCCGCAGC
This 501-nucleotide ribosomal RNA is filed under the name uncultured bacterium. RNAcentral describes it as "bacterial SSU rRNA". It matches the Rfam family "Bacterial small subunit ribosomal RNA", at positions 17 to 518 of the family's 1533-position model. The record is from RNAcentral.